RNAcentral lists this ribosomal RNA (254 nucleotides) under uncultured bacterium. RNAcentral describes it as "partial 16S ribosomal RNA". It matches the Rfam family "Bacterial small subunit ribosomal RNA", at positions 524 to 776 of the family's 1533-position model. The record is from RNAcentral.
UACAGAGGUCUCGAGCGUUGUUCGGAUUCAUUGGGCGUAAAGGGUGCGUAGGUGGCGUGGUAAGUCUGGUGUGAAAUCCCGGGGCUCAACCCCGGAACUGCACUGGAUACUGCCAUGCUUGAGUACUGGAGAGGAGAUUGGAAUUUACGGUGUAGCAGUGAAAUGCGUAGAUAUCGUAAGGAAGACCAGUGGCGAAGGCGAAUCUCUGGACAGUUACUGACACUGAGGCACGAAGGCCAGGGGAGCAAAACAGG